UCGAGAGUGAAGAGGAGAUCAUCUCAGAUUUGGAUGAUGUACCUGAUUGGACAUUCUUCCCUCGUAUUAUAUCAAAACCUGAUACAAAUGUUGUAGUGCCUGAAACUCACAAGUCGAGUGAGCCUCCUUGUGCAGCCCAGAAAGCAGCAGAAACAGAGGAGUCUGUAGUUCCCCUCUCACCUGAUGCUCCAGCAACUCAGUCCCUUGUAGGAGAUGGAAGUACUGGAGAUAUUCACGGUGCAUCAAGUGUCAACUCACCCGAACAUGACAACUCACCUGAACAAACAGAAGUUUCACCUGAACUGAACUCAGUUAACAGAUCCCCCCAGUGUUUGGAUUUACAGCAGUCUGAGGAAACUCCUCCAGAUAAUGAAAUAAGCUCAGAUGCAGCAUGUGAUGAUGGGUGUUGUGAUGCAACUGCCCAGCCUGAACCCUUAAAGUUUCAGACUGAUGGACUUCAAGAUGGUGAAACAUCCCUCCGUCGCUCUCAAAGAGUGCACACAAAGCCUAAUAGAUUAGAAUAUGUAAAACUUGGAAAUCCGCUGAUAAUGGUGGUGAAUUCUCUUUUCCAGGGUCUUAGUGAGGCAUUGACUAGCUCCCUGAAUGGUUUUGAGAAUGUACCCCAUAAUUCCGUCAGGCAUGUGCAAGCCGUGUGACACAGUGUCACAUUGCAGAUGCCCAGGGACGGGCAUACCCUUCAGAGGGGAGGGUGUAACCCACAUAAAAUGGGGAUGCCUCUUUAAGAAACGGAGGUUAGGGAAGCUAGGUGGUCUACCUAGCCAAUAGGAAGUUUAGUUUCCAGUGAGUUUAAACCAAUCAGAAUUCGGACUGCCGCUGCAGGACCCGCCCUUCCGCAGCACUGAGUGUGUAAGCGAGAGAGAUCCGGAAACGAUUAAGCUGGGCAGCGUGAGAGUCUCUGUUUUAAAACAGUUAUACAACUCUAAACAAACGCUUUCCCAGAUCAUCCGACUUCUAAGCUGGACGCGUGAAGUGAAAAAAAAAGAAAAGGAAAGACAAGUUCACUUUUUCUGCUGAACACCGUUAGAGCUGACUCGUUAGCUCUAACGGCCAACGGCUACUGGUUUAGCUCUAACGGCUACUAGGCUAACGUUUUAAGUUCAUCUUGUUCUCCGUUCAGCUGAAGUGCCUCACGGGUCCGGACUGAGAGCCACCAUAUUGUUGUCCCUAACGUGUCGCAUUGAGAUCGGUCAGGUUUUUUUGUUUAUGCUGGAUUGUUCCUGAGGUGGAUUCCUCCUGUGACUUUGAUGGCGAGCCUUCCCACCUGGACUUAGAAAGAACUGGAUUCCUGGAUUCCUUCUUUUCCGUUUGGAGUCCUGCUGCACCCCGCGGUGUGGUAGGCUGGUACCACUCACAUCUUCACACACAGUUGGUUAUGAAUGAGACCCCUGACUGACAUUUUUCUUUUUAUUGUUUAAUCCUGGAAUUUCUGAUCUCACCUUUUGGACUGGUUUUUAUUUGGUACUUCGUAACAAACUGCUGUGUAGGAAAUUCUCCUCAUGUGAAUGGUGUUGAGCUGAACCUAAUUGGAACUGGAAUUGAUUGAUCUGUUGCCUAUUACGAUUUAGAAUUCAGAUUACCAGGGUGCACCCAAAAGAUUCAAAACUGAGAACUAGCACUUGGCCAAGUAUUUGUAUUAUUUUUUUGUAUUUUAUUGUGUGUAAUUUUAUUUUCAUAAUUGUGUGUCUUGUAUAACUGUUUGUUAAUUUCAUGGUUUAUGUCACUAAAGCCAGUUGUUUUUUUUAAAUUCAUUUAACUGCC
This is a long non-coding RNA of Xiphophorus hellerii (green swordtail), 1779 nucleotides long. RefSeq lists it as uncharacterized. NCBI's taxonomy places the organism in Eukaryota, Metazoa, Chordata, Actinopteri, Cyprinodontiformes, Poeciliidae. The transcript is spliced from 3 exons. The record is from RefSeq and is a predicted model, not a curated record.